AUACAGAGGUGGCAAGCGUUGUUCGGAAUUACUGGGCGUAAAGGGCGCGUAGGCGGCCUUCUAAGUCUUGUGUGAAAUCCCUCGGCUCAACUGAGGAACUGCACGGGAUACUGGAUGGCUUGAGUUCGGGAGAGGGAAGCGGAAUUCCGGGUGUAGCGGUGAAAUGCGUAGAUAUCCGGAGGAACACCGGUGGCGAAGGCGGCUUCCUGGACCGAUUACUGACGCUGAGGCGCGAAAGCUAGGGGAGCAAACGGGA
RNAcentral lists this ribosomal RNA (256 nucleotides) under uncultured prokaryote. RNAcentral describes it as "partial 16S ribosomal RNA". It matches the Rfam family "Bacterial small subunit ribosomal RNA", at positions 523 to 777 of the family's 1533-position model. The record is from RNAcentral.